GCCUGGGUGGCUCAGUUGGUUGAGCGUCUGACUUCGGCUCAGGUCAUGAUCUCACAGUUUGUGAGUUUGAGCCCCGCGUCGGGCU
RNAcentral lists this transfer RNA (85 nucleotides) under Felis catus (domestic cat). It matches the Rfam family "tRNA". Rfam says of the family: Transfer RNA (tRNA) molecules are approximately 80 nucleotides in length. Their secondary structure includes four short double-helical elements and three loops (D, anti-codon, and T loops). Lineage: Eukaryota; Metazoa; Chordata; Mammalia; Carnivora; Felidae. The record is from Rfam by way of RNAcentral.